Molecule: transfer RNA, 73 nt
Filed under: Cordylochernes scorpioides
Lineage: Eukaryota; Metazoa; Arthropoda; Arachnida; Pseudoscorpiones; Chernetidae
Description: tRNA-Thr
Source: RNAcentral
AUCCAGGGAUGGGAAACGAACCCACAGUGUUCCGCUUACCGGGCAGAUGCCAUGUCCACUAGGCUACCCUGGA